This 376-nucleotide unclassified non-coding RNA is filed under the name uncultured Pseudobdellovibrionaceae bacterium. Its description in RNAcentral is "uncultured Bdellovibrionaceae bacterium contains 16S-23S intergenic spacer region". The record is from RNAcentral. Lineage: Bacteria; Pseudomonadati; Bdellovibrionota; Bdellovibrionia; Bdellovibrionales; Pseudobdellovibrionaceae.
UCCGGUUUGUCACCGGCAGUCCCAUUAGAGUGCCCAACUAAAUGUAGCAACUAAUGGCAAGGGUUGCGCUCGUUGCGGGACUUAACCCAACAUCUCACGACACGAGCUGACGACAGCCAUGCAGCACCUGUGUACCGACUCUUGCGAGCGACGACAUUUCUGCCAGUCUUCCAGUACAUGUCAAAAGUAGGUAAGGUUCUUCGCGUUGCAUCGAAUUAAACCACAUGCUCCACCGCUUGUGCGGGCCCCCGUCAAUUUCUUUGAGUUUUAAUCUUGCGACCGUACUCCCCAGGCGGGAUACUUACCGCGUUAGCUGCGUCACUGAAGGGGUCAAUACCUCCAACAACAAGUAUCCAUCGUUUACAGCGUGGACUAC